Small nuclear RNA from Vulpes vulpes (red fox), 164 nucleotides. Its record names the gene U4. It matches the Rfam family "U4 spliceosomal RNA". From Rfam's summary of the family: U4 small nuclear RNA (U4 snRNA) is a component of the major U2-dependent spliceosome. The structure of U4 snRNA from yeast and human has been reported. The record is from Ensembl. Lineage: Eukaryota; Metazoa; Chordata; Mammalia; Carnivora; Canidae.
AGCUUUGCGCAGUGGCAGUAUGGUAGCCAAUGAGGCUUAUCCAAGGUGCAAUUAUUGCUAAUUGAAUUGGGCUGCCAAACUUUCAAUAGCUUUCACGUCUGUUCUCUCACCCUUCAGCCCCAAAUUCCUCAUCCCUUUGGGAUCAUUAGAACUCAAGCUUUUGA